GGGAUAACAUUGCCCAGCUGGAGCUGCUGCUCUCAGAACACCUGGUGGUUAAGGGUAGUGUGGCAGAGCACCUUUGGGGGUGCUUGCCACUUGAGGGCUCUCACAGGCUCAGAGGAGAGCCUGCUUUGGAGGAACAGCAGGGGUAACCUCCCCCAGGUACCAUUUUAAGGGGGGAGGUGUGUGGCAGGGCACUGUUUGUGCCUGCCACUUUAAGAUCUGGGCCAAGCAGCCAGCAGGUGCUUGAUUGUGGCAGCCAUUUUAGAUCCCUGGCUGCCUAUAUAAACAAAUCAGUUCCCUGCUGGUGGGGCAGGCAGCAACAUUGCCUGGCCGCAACACUUCGUGGAACAUCCUGGAGGAUUUCCAUCUCCCCUGUAUCUUGAGCUGGAUCAUCAGGCUUUGGAAACUGAAUUCACCUUGUACUGAGCAUACGUGGAAUUAAAUACAAUGGAACUGCUUAGCUGUACCACAUUCAAGAAAAAGAAUGGAUAAGAGAGAGAGAGAGGUGAACUAAUACAAGUGUACAAGGCAGGUCACACGAUAUUGCCACUGAAAUCAAGGGGAACAUUCAGGAUUGCUUGUACCUACAGGAGACAUCUGGGUGCAGCUCAGAGUGCAGUGACUACAAAUGUGCCUGAUCGUGAUGAACAGAGAAACGCCUGGAUCUUUCACUUUUGCAAAGAGCUCUCUGCAGGCUGGCGUACUUCCCGGAGAAGGGCGCUCAGGCACAGGGCACCAUGUGCAUGUGCGCACUCACACAUGCACAUGGCCACCAGGUAGCCUGGAGAACAGGUCCCAUAGAUUUGGAGGCUUUUAAUUGGAGAAUUGGUGAUUUUUGCAAAUAUGCAAAUCUGUAAUCGGAGAAUUUGCGAAAACCAGGAUCUUUUCAGAAAAUGUGAUAUUUGUAUCUCCAAUGGCUGACUGCAGCCUGAAUGCAGUGAUGUCUGGUGCAGGAAUAACUAGUGUGGAAAAAGCAUGGCCAUGAGGCUGAAGGUAACAGAAGGACUGAAAGCAAUUGCAUCGAGUACCCAAAUUAACGGAGCAGUCCAUGUAAGCCUUGGGCAAUGUAUGGUGCUGCUCUUUGAAGACAUAAUGGAUGCAGCAGGACCUUUCAAGGUUUAGAGAAGUAGAGGAAACACCUGCUUUGCCAUCAGCAUUCUUGCUAGCAGUGACACUACUGGUGACAGAAUCAGUCCCUUCCGGAGAUGAUUCAGACUCGGAAGACUCGUGGUAGUGAUGACAAAUGCCUGAGAAUUACUGAAAGCAGAACUAAUGAGCAGUGCCACUCAUUUAGCGUAUGGUUUGACAACAGAUGCACAUGUUGGUAAUUAAGUAUUUGGCUGCAUUACAUUAUUUUAUUUUUGGAUUUCUAAAAUACCCCCCAUCAUAAUCCCUGGGCACAUUUACACAGUUUAACUGUGUUACACUAAUGUAACAGUGAUAGAAAACUUGAUAUAAAGAAAUUCAAAUAAACUGCUUCCAAUGCUCAAUAGGUUGAGUAUGUGAAGGGCUUAGAAGGUACCCUGAAAAGUAAGCAAACUCAGGCCCUGACCCUGCAAAGACUUAAAAAGGAAUAAUCUCAUUGACUUCUUACAUGUGUGAGGUAAAGCACAUGAAGAAAUCUGUGAUAUCAAAGCUUUAGACCAAAUUGGGAUUUAAGUGAGAAAUUAAUGUCUCUUUACUAAGAAAGCUUGGCUUCUACCUGUUUUAGAGUCCAAAACUAGGGAUUGUUGGCAAGAUACUGUCUGAUCUUAACUGCAAUAUAGGUACAUAAAAAGAGAAAAGGUUUCCCACCCACAAACGCCACCCCCCAAGGAAACUCUCAGAUUUCUGGUAUUUACUAUAUACAGAAUAAAGAGGAAUGGUUUGAACCAUAUACAGUGGUCUUAAGAAUGUAAGAGCCAUACUUGGUCACAUUAAUCAUCCAUCUAGCCCAGUACUCUGUCUACAAAAAUGGCAAGAGUGGAUGCUUCAGAGGGAGAGUACUGAACUUGGUAUAUCUAGAGUGGCCUAUCCUGGUUUAUUACCUCCCCUGGCAUCUACCAUCAUAUGGCUGAUUGGGUGAAAAUUUGAGCCCUUACUGCAUGAGGGGUGAGAUGAAGAUUUUCAAAACAGAGCAUUUUUUGUUACUUCUGUCUGCUCUGCCUCCCCACCUGUUUUCAGAAUGGAAGGGGGGAAAGGGAGCAGAGGGAAUUUGAUUUGGGGGGUUUUCAGCCCCUGCUGGUGGGUGAGGUGGCUCCAACAUACCCGACUGAGAUGGGGGGCUCCAAUAUACCUACCCCACCCUCCAGAGUCUUCUGGGAAAUCCCUAGAAUGAGCUCCUUCUGCUCCCUUCCCCCACCCUCCCAUUCUGAAACAGAGACAGGCUGGGAGAGACGAAGGGCUGUUGCUAGGGGAAACCAGCUGCAGGCUCCCAGACAGCAGCUAGAUUCUCCUGCCCCUGGAACCAAGGGUGAACUUCUGUUUGUUCCAGGAAACUGUUGUAACUCAGAAUGUUUCCUGCAAAGCAUCCUCAGUUAGAGUGGGGUGCUGCACAUCUGCCUGCACCCACUGCUGUCUGCACCUAGCUUUUCCCAGGAUGCAUCUUAGAGGGUGAAAUUUGCUUAAAGCUGGGUAAAAUAGUCCAUAUGAACCUAGAGCUCAUUUUAAAGUUCUAUUUAUAGAUAGCAGAAAUGAGGAAACAACUACACUCUUUUUAUCCUACCCUUAUGUCAACAGCAGCAGACUGGGAAGCCCUAGAUUUCUUGGAAUACCAUUGUGUAAACCUAUCUGAGAUGAAAUGUGUUGAAUUGUUAGAUAUUUUUUUAUAAAUUCAAAAACUUUUUCAAAAUUGCUGGAAAUUCAAAUACUUUAUUUUUGCCAGAUUUGUUUGCUUAGUGAAUGUGCCAAACUGUCUUUGAAUACACAAAAAAUGUUUUAGCAUGGUGCUAUCCAGGGCUAAAAUCUGUCUGAUGAACUUCUGGAGAAAGCAGCUAUACUAUCUGAGAAUGAUUGA
Molecule: long non-coding RNA, 2992 nt
Organism: Alligator mississippiensis (American alligator)
Lineage: Eukaryota; Metazoa; Chordata; Crocodylia; Alligatoridae
Exons: 7
Source: RefSeq, a predicted model, not a curated record